UGGGGAAUAUUGGACAAUGGGCGAAAGCCUGAUCCAGCCAUGCCGCGUGUGUGAAGAAGGUCUUCGGAUUGUAAAGCACUUUAAGUUGGGAGGAAGGGCAGUAAGCUAAUACCUUGCUGUUUUGACGUUACCGACAGAAUAAGCACCGGCUAACUCUGUGCCAGCAGCCGGGGUAAUACAGAGGGUGCAAGCGUUAAUCGGAAUUACUGGGCGUAAAGCGCGCGUAGGUGGUUCGUUAAGUUGGAUGUGAAAUCCCCGGGCUCAACCUGGGAACUGCAUCCAAAACUGGCGAGCUAGAGUAUGGUAGAGGGUGGUGGAAUUUCCUGUGUAGCGGUGAAAUGCGUAGAUAUAGGAAGGAACACCAGUGGCGAAGGCGACCACCUGGACUGAUACUGACACUGAGGUGCGAAAGCGUGGGGAGCAAACAGG
Molecule: ribosomal RNA, 429 nt
Filed under: bacterium
Lineage: Bacteria
Description: partial 16S ribosomal RNA
Rfam family: Bacterial small subunit ribosomal RNA
Source: RNAcentral